This is a long non-coding RNA of Lutra lutra (Eurasian river otter), 407 nucleotides long. RefSeq lists it as uncharacterized. The transcript is spliced from 3 exons. The record is from RefSeq and is a predicted model, not a curated record. Lineage: Eukaryota; Metazoa; Chordata; Mammalia; Carnivora; Mustelidae.
GCCUGUGAGGUCUGAACGCCGUGAAGCUCGAGCGACAUGGGUUGCCUCACAGGGGCUCUGCAAGUCACCAGGGACCCGGCAGAUGCCAAGAGGUGGGAGAGAGGAGCGCGAGAGAGGUGGGGCCUCAGGUCAGCAAAAACUAGAGAGGAUUAUUCUGUGAUGUGGAGGAUUAAUCCAGCCUAACACGUUCCACAUCCAGCAAGGCCGUGUGUCUGUCUACACUGGAUGUGGGAGCGUUGCCACUCCCCAUUUGCAACCCACAGCAGAAGCCAACCAAGGUCAGGGGCAGCAUCACAAAUGGGAUGCCUCCCUGAAACGCAAUAGCCGUCGGAAGAAAGUCUGGGGCAGCAACUCUUUGGGAAACAUCUCUGGAGACGAAAUGGCGUGGUUUGUGGUGCCAUCUUGGU